Molecule: ribosomal RNA, 393 nt
Filed under: uncultured bacterium
Lineage: Bacteria
Description: partial 16S ribosomal RNA
Rfam family: Bacterial small subunit ribosomal RNA
Source: RNAcentral
AUACGGAGGAUCCGAGCGUUAUCCGGAUUUAUUGGGUUUAAAGGGUGCGCAGGCGGGAGAUUAAGUCGGCGGUGAAAUUUUUCAGCUCAACUGUAAAAGUGCCUUCGAAACUGGUUUCCUUGAGUGUAGAUGAAGUAGGCGGAAUUUGUGGUGUAGCGGUGAAAUGCAUAGAUAUCACGAGGAACUCCGAUUGCGCAGGCAGCUUACUAAACUACUACUGACGCUCAGGCACGAAGGCGUGGGGAUCAAACAGGAUUAGAUACCCUGGUAGUCCACGCAGUAAACGAUGAUUACUAGCUGUUUGCGAUACAAUGUAAGCGGCUGAGCGAAAGCGUUAAGUAAUCCACCUGGGGAGUACGUUCGCAAGAAUGAAACUUAAAGGAAUUGACGGGG